AUGUGGAUGAAAAAGAAGCACGUGGCAGUUACACAAAGUGCUGUCACUAUAGCCUUACUUCCGUUAUUGCAAGUCGAGAAACCAAACCUUGAAGAGCUGUGUCUAGGGUCACACAGCCAGGAAUUUGUCGGCUUGAGGGCAGGGCUAGGCAUUGAGGGACAGUGGGACUUGGAUGAGCAGAUGCAGCAGGGAGAGAGCUCCUGGGCUAGACAAGGAGAAGAUGGUACAGAAUUGCCAGCAGGGGACCGUGGAUAUUCUAAGUGUGGUGAAGAGUGAGGAUGGAAUUCUGUGAUGAUCCUGCACUUAAAGGACUAUUUAUUAAGGAAGAAGAGCUGCCAGUGGAAUUGGAAAAAGAGCAGUUGGAAGUGGGAGGAGAGACCAUCGUCAUGUAUGAAACGGUCAGAGUGAAAAUAAUUACAGGCAGCGGAAAGGUAAAUUACAACAAUUAUUUUUCAUGAAAAAUAUUUUAUCUUUUAAUAUGAGAAAAGAGAAAAGUCAUAUUUUUAAAAGAAAAUAAUAGAACACCAGACUAAAUGAUAAUGUAUUGUUAAGGAAUUAUAAAUUUUGUCCCACGAAAAAUUAUUUGGAAUGAAAAAAUAUGAAAAGUGAGAGCUUCUUCAUGUAUAUGUACAUAGUAUUUAUAAAAUAGCUCCAUAAUUUUUCUCUUUUGCCUGUAAAUUCAAAGUGUGGGAAACAUAAAAUUUAAUCUUUACUUUAAAAAGAGACAGAUAACUGUGAAAAAGACAAAUAUUCCCUUUUCUUUGAUAUAUUACAAGCCAUUAAAAUUUUUAGAGACAGUUUCUGAAGAGAGGUUUUUAGGAAGGUAUGAAGUGAUUCUUGGAAGGUAGGAGGUGAUUCUUAGAAGUUUCCAGGAGAGUGGUGGUGGAAGAAACCAGACUGCAAUGAGUGACGGGUUUAGAGCGGGCGGGCAGCAUGUUUUUGGAAUUCCGCUGCAGUGAAAAGAAAAGAGAAAGAAUCAUUCUUAGGGGGGAAGGGACUUGAGCUUGUCUGUAGAGAAAAGAAGCCUGAGUGAUUAAGAUGCAGUUACAGCUGCGAAAAUGGUCAAGUACCUUGUUGGAAAAGCCAAGGAAAGCAGAGCGUCAGAUAGAAGGGAAGCCUAGUUCUCUGUGGCCAGAGAUGGAAGGACAGUGAGAUGGGUAAAAAUGAGAAUGAUUGGUGGGAUAUGUUCAGGUCUGAAGACCUCUUCUAGAACUUUCUAUAUUGAUGGGCUUAGAAGUCUUAGGAAGAUACUAGGACAAAGCUCUGCUCCUCCCCCUCAACCCCAAAACCUAGCAAAACCCCCAAAACCUGCAGGAGGAAGUUGAACCUGCGGGCAUUCAGUCUUUUAGCUGAGAUUCCAUGGUUCAAGGAAGAUUUCAACCUUGAGCCAAAUGCAGAGUUCAAAGUGAGUUUUCUGUGGGCUUCCUGGGAUUCUGAGUAUUUAUUACAGCGUUUGUGGAAGCUAGGUUUUCAGAGGAUGCCAGUAAAUGAAGAUUCCUGGGCUCUAAGGCAUUGGCUUAAAGGAACCUUCUACACUGCCAUUAAGCAUGCUUGUUCCUUUAUUACGCAUUACAUUUUUCCCUCAUAGCCCCCCAAAGUCUUCCUGGUUGGAAAGCCAGGAAAUAGUUCAUUGUUUCUUCAAAGCGGAAGCGAUAGCGCUUCCUAACAGUAAGUCUCUGCCAUUCCAGUUAAGAGUCCUCAUUUUUAAAACCUGCUGGGGCUUUCCUUGCAGAGAAGGGAAAAACCCCACUGCAUAUACAGCUGAAAGUUUACCACAGCCCCUGCUGAUAUCAGAGGUAUUUUAAUAAAAUCCAGCAUAGAAACA
This 1825-nucleotide long non-coding RNA is filed under the name Sus scrofa (pig). Its description in RNAcentral is "lncRNA (ENSSSCG00055018200.1)". The record is from RNAcentral. Lineage: Eukaryota; Metazoa; Chordata; Mammalia; Artiodactyla; Suidae.